AAGAGGCUCUAAAACAUCUCAUUCUGAACUGAACAGACUAAAAUCUUGUGACCUCAGAAGGAUUUUGAAUAAAAAUGUAAUGAACAUGUUUUGUUUGGCCCACAGACCGACCCAAACAUUUUCAGGUCACGUUUAAAGUGUAUGGAAGUAUUUUGGUGUCUUGAUCUCGUUGAUGUCGUCUCUUCCAGAAGCCGAUGUGAUCAUUUUGAUCCGGUGGCCAGAGGUUCUGCUGCUGCCUGGACCGUCCUACCAUCCAACCGGGUCGUGACCCCAGUCUGUUGUUCAGAUGAUCUUCUUCAUCUCUUUGGAUCGUUUGAACAAACUUUUAAUCUGUUAAUGACAGUUAAUCUACAGGAUUAUUAGAUUACUGAUGAACUGGAAUCAAACGACAUGAUGAACAGCUGAUGUUUCUCUGUUUUCUUCUUUGAACAAACUGCUUCAUUUUUGUGUUUCCUGGUAUCAAAUUCUUGUCUCCACCAAUAAAGUCAAACUCAACAGUUUCCUGUUGCUCCCUUUCAAAAUAAAAGAUAUUGUUAAAAUG
This is a long non-coding RNA of Poecilia latipinna (sailfin molly), 541 nucleotides long. RefSeq lists it as uncharacterized. The record is from RefSeq and is a predicted model, not a curated record. NCBI's taxonomy places the organism in Eukaryota, Metazoa, Chordata, Actinopteri, Cyprinodontiformes, Poeciliidae. The transcript has 2 exons.